RNAcentral lists this ribosomal RNA (474 nucleotides) under uncultured bacterium. RNAcentral's name for it is "bacterial SSU rRNA". It matches the Rfam family "Bacterial small subunit ribosomal RNA", at positions 29 to 513 of the family's 1533-position model. The record is from RNAcentral.
AGUGAACGCUGGCGGCGUGCUUAACACAUGCAAGUCGAACGAGAACGGGUUAUAGCUUGCUAUAACUGUCAGCUAAGUGGCGCACGGGUGAGUAAUAUAUAGGUAACGUGCCCUAGAGAGGGGGAUAACAGUUGGAAACGAUUGCUAACACCCCAUAUGCCUUUAAGACUUAAGUCUGCAAGGGAAAUAUUUAUAGCUCUAGGAUCGGCCUGUACAGUAUCAGUUAGUUGGUGAGGUAAUGGCUCACCAAGACAAUGACGCUUAACUGGUUUGAGAGGAUGAUCAGUCACACUGGAACUGAGACACGGUCCAGACUCCUACGGGAGGCAGCAGUGGGGAAUAUUGCACAAUGGACGAAAGUCUGAUGCAGCAACGCCGCGUGGAGGAUGACACAUUUCGGUGCGUAAACUCCUUUUAUAUAGGAAGAUAAUGACGGUACUAUAUGAAUAAGCACCGGCUAACUCCGUGCCAGCA